This is a long non-coding RNA of Passer domesticus (house sparrow), 11395 nucleotides long. RefSeq lists it as uncharacterized. The transcript is spliced from 3 exons. The record is from RefSeq and is a predicted model, not a curated record. Lineage: Eukaryota; Metazoa; Chordata; Aves; Passeriformes; Passeridae.
AGAAAAGAACAACCAAACAAAGAAAACACCAAACCACAAAGAGAUAGAAAUAAAACUCAAGAAAGACAAUUGAAGCUAAUAAAAACAAUUGCUCCCCCCUGACCAAUGCCCCUCCCCACUCUUCACUUUCCCUCAGCUGUAUAUGCUGAGCAUGAUGGAGUAUCCCUUUGGUCAGUUGUGGGCAGCUGUCCUAGUUGUGUCCCCUCUCAGCUACUUGUGUCCCUCCAGCCCUCCAGCCUCCUCACUGGUGGGACACAAUGAGGAUCAGGAAAGGCCUGACAAGGUGUGAGCACUGCUCAGCAACAGCAAAAAGAUCCCUGUGUUACCAACACUGUUUCCAGAGCAAAACCAAAACAUAGCUCCAUGACAGAUACUGUGGGGAAAAUUAACUCUACAAAAUCAGCACAUAUAAGAAACAAAGGAGCCACUCUAGUUUACAGAUGAAAAGGUAGAACCCUACUUGUGCCACAAGAUACACAGGGUGUGCAUAUCCAACAAUCCUCCAUGCUACAGUGGUGCAAUUACCAGGGCUAGUACUCACUUCUGUGUUGCCCUGAUCUUCCAGACCUGGAGGUGAAAGUCCUGCUUCAUGUGGAUAAGGUCAUGGGAGCUGUAAAAACAAUGCUUUUCACACUGCUCCAUCUUCCCUCUAUCUCCAUUGCUUUAUGUAGGGUAAAUUAAAUACAGGUCCUUCGUGGUCCCUAGCUCCUGUCUCCUCUCUUCCCAGCAGGCUCUUAAUAAUCUUUUCUAUUAAUUUGCAUCUCCUUUCUCUGCUGCACACAGCCAUGCCCACACAGCUGUCAAAGCCAGGACAUAAUCCUCACCUGUCUGUGCACCACAGUCCUCAGUCCUUUAUGCAUCCAGUGUAAUUCAUCAAGCUCAUCUUAAAAUUGCUAGUUCUGUUUGCUUUUGAAGUAUCACCCAACUUCUCUGGGCAGUCCUUAGGCGUGUCCUAUCCUUUCUUCUUGAUUUCCGUUUGGUUACGUGCUUAGGUGCAUACAGAGGUUUGCUAAUUCAGAUCGUGUUUUGAGCAGAAGAACAUGAGAACUUUGAUCUGAAAGACAUUUGACUGUUAGAGAAUGAAAGACAUUUCUGUGUUAGAGCAGAAAUGUACCACAGAGUAAGGAAAGUGGGAGGGAGAUUUCAUUAGCUUUUUUAUCACUCGGUAUGAACAUAUACAUGCAGUUUCUGGAAUCACACUGGCUACUUGUUAACUUGCUUGGACCCUGUACAAUUUUAAUUGGCAUUUUAAUUUUUUUUAAAUUUUAUGAUUGAUCUGUGUUCAUUAUUCUCCUCAGUCACCUGCAGCUUCUUAAAGUCUUGCAGUCAUAUACAAAAGUGAUUAUAUAAAUCAAAGUCUAGUUUAUCUGAAGAGACACAGUUAAAUAAAAGUAUAGCUGAGCUAUUACAGAAAUCUUUUGUAAAUCAUCAUCACUACUACUACCAACUGCUAUAUUAAAGUAUUUCUCAGUUUUAUAAUAAUUUUUGCAAUGUAAACCAACUGUCAGCUUUGUUAUCUAUGCUCAUUUGUAGAUGAUCUUUCUUUUUUUACUCAAAUUAAUAUUGCUACCUUUCACAUUAGGAUUUGUCAAAUGCAAAUCUAACUAGUCAAAUUUAAAUCUAGUUUCACUAGUCCAAAGUUAAUUAAUUUCUCUUGAAAUGUUCUCAUUGCCUUGUCUCUUGUUACUAUGUCCAAGACAGAACAUACAGUGGUACUGAGCUGCAAGGUCUGCUCCAUCCAGAACUGAGAUUUUACUUUAUAAGAUGAUUCUGCAUUGUGCUUUCAGCAGCAUCCCAUGCCAUCUCGUUGUGGUAUUCCAGGCCAGUGUUAACCCAGAAAAUGGACAAGUGACCACAGCUGACAAACAUUAGACCUUGCUUCUUUUGCAUGAUCAUAUCACCCACUCAUCUUCCUUUCUGGUCUCCUAAAGCUUUAACCCCUUUAGUUCUCAUUAAACAUAUGAAUGAUUUCAUAAAGGAUGAAAACCUUAAUGUAACACCAAAAGAAAAGCAGAAAAGCAUUUUAUUGCAUAGACCGAUUAUAAAUAUUAUAAAUUGUAUUAUAAAUUAUCAAUUAUAAUUAUAAAUUAUUAUUAUUAAUUGUUAUGGAAUAAUUACCAAGAAAUAAAGGGGCUGUCUAAGUAGCAUUGCUUUACAGUGCCUUGACAGAGACACCUGGCUUUGUUAAAGGUAUUGUCAAAAAUGUCUUGAGGAAAGUAAGAGUUCUCCCAAAUCUUAUAAAAUCUGAGCACAUGCUACACAAACCAGAGAAGAUUUCCUUGAUUAGACUCUCCAGAAAUCCGCCAGUAAGUAGUUACUCUGUAUUAUUCCAAAUCCACCAAAUGUUAUGCCAGACAGAGCUGUCACCUAUUCAAGAAGACAAAGGUAUUACCGGAGAUGACAAAAUCAGGGACAGCCAGCCCUAUUUACCACUCUGCCACCUCUGCCUGCCUGAAGUUUUUGAACCACAGUGUCUGCAGUUUUUGAACCUCUCAGGGCUGUUAAAGACAGUACAGUUAGGUACAGGGAUGUCCUUGGCAACUGGGUGAUAGAGUUCAAAAUUUUUAAAAUCUGCUUUGCCUCAUCUCUCCUCAAGUGGCAAGAAGCUCUGCUGCAAAAUUGGAUUGCUUCUUUGCUCUCCAUGAAUGAAAAUCCUCUUAUGUCUUGGUAGAUUCUUAAGAAUAAAAUGCAGCAUAAUGAAAGGAAUUUGUAGGGAAACUCUUCCACUACAUCUUCUCUGGUUGCUUCUUUCCUUUUUCUCUGCUUUAUCUAUUUCCCUUUUUAUAUUACUUCUACUGUUCUCCUCCCCACCUUUCUUUGUAGCCUGUUUGAAAAAACUAAGGUGUUUUCUUAGAAACUCUAAUCUAAAAACCUUUUAACUGUUAAAGAUUAACCAGUAAAGCAUCUGUGGAAAAGCACCCACUUCCCUGACAUUUGACUCCAUCCUGCCACAUUGAGAAACUCCGCUAUUGUGAUGCUUCAAUAGCUUGUUCACACUUAACAGAUUGACUGGAAGGCAGGAAAGCCGGCUAAUGUCAUGCCACAUAAUGUCGGGAGCCGCAAAUGCCCCAAAUCAUGAACGGGUUUAGCACCUGUCUUUCAGUGGAACAAUCUAUUGGUGCUUUUGAUUGCAAUGAAGUUUUCUACUGAGUUUUCUGAGAGUGGCUUGUGCACUUUCAGAGUGGAACAGAGGAGGGUUGCAGGAGUGCCUGUGCAUAGAGGGAAAGGGAUGAAUACAGCAAAUCAGGCCCAGGUAGGGGACAUAAAAAAGGGCUUUUUAGUAGUUGGUAUUUGGUUGACCCUGCUGGAUGUCAGGUGCCCACCAAAACUGCUAUGUCACUACCCUCCACAACUGAACAGGGGAGAGAAAAUAAAAGGCUCAUUGGCUGAGAUAGGGAUGGGGAAGGGAUCACUUUUAGGUCACAAAACACUGAACUUGAUAGAAUGUAUUGCUAAAACAUUCGAUUGAAUGUAUUAAUUGAACUAAUUAAUUGAAAAUUAAUUGAAUUAUUGUUCAAUUCAUUAAUUAAUUGAAUUAAUGAAUUGAACAUAAAUUGAAUGUAUUACUAAAAACAUCAGAGCUGUAUAAUGAGAAAAUUAAAAACACCUUUCUCUACUCCUCCCUUCUUCCCAGCUCUGUCUCCUUCCCCAUAAUAAUGCAGGGAGACAGGGAAUGGGGGUUAUACUCAGUUCAUCACACGUUGUUCCUGUCAUUGCUCAGGGAAAAGAGGCCAUCCCCUGCUCCACCAUGGGAUGUCCCCCAUGGGACAUAUUCUUCCCAUAGGCUACAGUUCUUCACAAACUGUUCCAGUGUGGACCCCUUUCCAUAGGGCGCAGUCCUUAAGGAAAAGCCUGCUGCAGUGUGGGUCUCCCACAGGGUCACAAGUCCUUCCAGGAAACCUGCUCCACCAUGGGCUCCUCUCUCCGUGGGUCUGAAAGUCCCUGCCAGCACCUGCUCCAGCCCGUGCCUCCCACAGGAUCACAGGCUUUUCUCAGGCAUCCACCUGCUCUGGCCUGGGUCUCUUCCAGGGGCUGCAGGUGGAUCUCUGCAUCCCCAGGGACCUCCAUGGGCUGCAGGGCCACAGCUGCCUCACCAUGAUCUCACCACAGGCUGCAGGGGAACCUCAGCUCUGGUGCCUGGAGCACCUCCUGCACUGACCUUGGUAUCUAUGGAGCUGUUCCUUUCUCCUGUUUUCACUCUGCUGUUCUCUGAGUGCAUUAACAUCUGUGGAACAGCUUCCUGUUCCUUCUUGAUUUGUCUGUGGCCAGCAGUGGAUCCAUCUUGGAGCCAGCUGCAAUUGGAUCUGUCUGACAUGUGGGAAGCUUCUUUCACCUUCUCACAGAAGCCACUCCCACUACCAGAACCUGGACACACAGACCCUGUACAAUGAUGUACAUGUACAACUGGAAAGGCAAAGCUUUGGAAUUAGUAUUUUAGAUCAUACAAUAUUACUUCAGACAAGAAAACUUAAUGCCCUGGCUUUGACAGGCAUUUUCCUAAAGGUAUCCACACAUGUUGAAUUUGAGGGGCCAAAUAUGGUUCAAAUUUAUCUGAAUUUACAGGAUUAACAGAUGUUUUGGCCUUUCCUGUAUACAACUUGAUGAAAAGCAGUUUCCAAUGUCAUUGAGAAGGUUCCACUUGGCAUUUUGCAUAGUGCUUUUUUAGUGAUAUUAAAAUAUUGAUUUAUAUCUCAUAAUAAAAUCAUGGUAGAAACCAUUUCACAAUUUAGAUUGAAUUAGGCUAGACUGCUAAAUUUCUGGGGGGUUUUUUAGGAAUUUCAGUAAAAUUUCAAGUUGCUAUUCAAUUUUUGCCUUAAAAUAGAAGUAAUUACUUUUAUUAUAUUCUGAUUUGUGAUCUGGAAGCUUAUGAAUCCCCUAGCAGAGACAUAGACCAGAUAUCCAAGAACAAAAAGUAUUAUCUUUUUGAUUAUCUUUUUGAUAAUCAAAAAGAGAGUGGGAGAAAGGGGAUGUUGUUCAUUUUCUCGUUGAUGUAUUUUUAAUUUUUUUGUUGUUGUUGUGGUUGUUGUAAUAUUAACUUCUGAAUGUAUGUAUACAUCCUUCAGUAUUCUCUGGAAUUUGCAGAAUCUUAGACCAGAGGAUGAAUCUUAGACCAGGGGCAUGUCCUGAAUAAAGCCAUUAAUUCCUGUAUGGCUUCAUAUAUGAAUGUAUUGCCACCAGAUAAAAACCAGAAGUGCUUGGAGGUAACUUCUUCUCUACAUCUUCAGUAUCUGAUAAAGAGACAAGUUACCUUAAGAAUGGAAAGAGUGACUAGAAAGCAACAGUAAGUAGUAGUCCUUUUAUUUUGGUUACAGUUGCAUUAUAUCUACUGGGAAGCAUUUCAGCUGCUUUCAAGAACAUAAAAUGUCUCUGAAAAUCUUGACCUAAGUUUAGAAUUUCCAUUUUGUUCUCUUACUGCAUCUCUCAAUAGAAAAGGUGAGCACAACAAAUACAAUAAAUAUAAUACCUGAACUGCAGUAAGUCUCUCUAUGAAACAGUAGUUGUCAUGAAGGGAAACGAUUAAAGAGGAGGCUUCAGAAUAUUAUUUAGAAAUACUUGAGAAGACGUGUUAGAAUCACAGAAAUGACAAGUAGCAUCAGUUAUCAGUUUUCUGCUAUCCAGUUUAAGAGAAUGUUUUAACUUCUAGAAGUACUGAAUUUUUUCCUAUGCUCUGUCUAGAAAUCAUUGUUUUUGAGUUUGUGGGUGUCACAUGCACAGAGAAAACAGUACCUCAAGUGCAGAACUGGUCUAUGAAUGUAGGACUUGCAAAGUGCCCUGAAGAUUUAGCCCCCAAAAUGUCUCCAUAUGAAAAACAUCAGACUAUGUAUUAUUCCGUAACAGUCCAUAGACUGAUGCAGAGGUAACAAUCAAGGAAGUACGGGGGUUUUUUUAAAUAUAGAGAUGUUUAAAUAAGAUUCAAAUAAGCUUCUUUUUGGAAAUGUUGAGAUUUUAAAAUAUUAUUUGAUUGCAAACAGUUGCUUUGUGCUGUUUGAAGAGUUCCUAUAGCCUAUUGCUUUGCCUGUAGUUACUCUAGAGUGGGUUUAAAGGCAUGUCAAAAUGUGUGGAGGUAUGAAAACAAGCACCCUUAAAAGGACUUCUGCAGAAGAAAUUCUUUGCUGUGAGACUGCUGAGGUACUGGAACAGAGAAGGUUGCCCAGAGAAGUUGUGGAUGCCCCAUUCCUGGUAGUGUCAAGGUCAUGUUGGAUGGAGCUCUGAGAAACUGGUCCAGUGGGAGGUGUCCUACACAUGACAGGGGGGUUGGAGCUAGAUGAUCUUUGUGGUCUCUUCAAACCCAAACCACUCUAUGAUUUUUUUUUUCUCAGCUCCCACCCACACCUAAAAGUGAAAUAAUUCUCUGCCAUUUGAUAUGAAGUCACAUUCCCACUGUCACAUUUUACUCUAGAUCUAUUUAACCAUAGUAAAGAAGGAGUAGGAAGAGAGAAAUAAAUACAGCACUACUAUGAAACACACUGUAAGACAAUGGUGCCUUGGGCAGGUGCUUAACAUGUCCCCAGAUGCAGCUGUGAAAAAUGCCAGAAGUCUGCCUGGGAAAAGCUUCUCAGCAUGAAUACCGGCCUGAGAUAUCUUGUAACAAAAAUAUGCCCUGAUGCAUUUUAAGAAUCUUGCUGACAAGUAGAAUUGCUUAUCAAGAAUAGAGAGAUAAUGUUUUUGGUUGUUGGCUUUGGUUUGUUUGUUUGUUUGUUUGUUUUUGGGGGGGGGGUUCUUUUUUGGGGGGAGAAACCAUUUGGUUUCUGAGACUGUAUGUUUCACUAGUUUGUUUGGUGGAUUUUCUUUCUUCAAUACUAGAUUUAGAUUUAGAUUCUCCAAGGCAGAAUGUCUUUUUGUAGGCAGGUACCUAUUCAUACAUUUAAGCCUAGAACCUCACUGUUUGAUAACUCUGCUUUGCUCAUUUAAACAGAUUAAGUAGCAUCUUUAUCUGUAAAAUUCAUUGUUCUGAAAUGUUCCAAGUGCCAUUUAUGGUAAGUGGAAUGCAAUAAAGGAACUUCAAGCACUUUGUAGAAAAACCAGACUACUUAGCCACAUCUCUGCCUGCUAGUAAAGUCUGCUUAAAAGAUAUUCUCAUGGCUGUCUUGAAGAUCAAGGGUAAUAAUGCCAAUGUAAAUGAAUCUGUGUUGGCCUGCAAAGGGGUAUGCAAGGCUUUUUGCUUGAGCCGAUAAUAAAGUCAGGCCAGUGAAAUCCCCAGAGCACAGACAAGUAACAGUCUGGGCAACUGUUUGAUAACCUCACGGGGCCAGCUUCUCUCCUGUCACCUCUCCUCCUGACAUGGUGCUUAUUAAGUACAGCUCAGCUUUGUCAGGCUAGUCAGACUGAAGAGAGUUUACUCAGUCCUUGAGGAAGGCUUUAGUUCCUUGCUCUGGCUUUAUUGUUGCUGUGGUUACAGACACUUGAGCUGGGAAGAGUAAAAGGAGUUCAGAUAUGUUUAUGUGAACUCUUAUGACAUGCAUAUGGAAAUGCAUAUCCUUUAGAAGGAGAACUUUAAUUACAAUAGGAAGGCAUGUGUUGAUGUGCUGGCUGCAUUGUGGUGGAUCAGUUUUUUCCUGUGAAAAUGUCAGAUUUGAUUGUAAAAGUUUAAGAGAAGAGGAAUACAACAAGAAAUGCAGGAAUAAAAGUUUCUCUAACACUGCCUUCUACCCCAUGGAGGAAAAGAUAGUGAGGUGUAUGCGUGGCUGUGUUAGCUGGUCAGGAGUGUAUAGACAGUAUCAGAAUCUUUCGUUUGGAGAAGGCUACAGAUAGAUAGUUUUAUGUAAGCAAAUGUUGAGUACAUCUUAGCUAUUUGAGUAUGUGGUUUUAUUUUCCCUUUGUUUUAAGAAGUCUUAAAACUCUCUGCUACCCUUUGGAGAAUGUUCAAAAGGCACUAAAGAGAGAAGAUGCAAGAAAGGACAUUCUUGAUGCCUAUUUCCAUGCCAUGACCUUGUUGCCAAAGAGGAAGGAGAAGACCAUGGGCAGAACAGAGUAUGAAAGAGGUUUUUUAGGGUAACAACAGUGUGAAGUGAAAUCUUUGUCAUCUCCUCCAUCCAGAGUUUUGUUGUACACAUUUUCCGUAUUUGCUGUUUUCCCUGCACAGCUUCAGCUCAUUAUUUGAAGGGACUGAAGACUGUAACUUGUCCUAGCAACAAAUCUCUCUAAGAUGCUUCAGGUAAGUCCUUAUAAGAUCUCACCAGGCAGUUUGUCUAACUGUUCUGAUCAGUGUCUUCCUCAGUCCAAAGAGAAACAUGAAUGCCCUUCCCACUGAGGGUGGCGUAUGAUGCUCUCCCACACUCCAGAUUACAACAGAUCUAUGACUGCUACAGCGUUUUCUUCAUGACUGCCACUGCUACACCUGCUAUCUGAACAUGCACUGGAAGAUGGAACUGUCUGACAGGCAUUUGCCAAUGAAGAUGCUCAGUUUCAAUACCAACCUGUGGAACCCAGCUAUGACAAGAAAGUACAAACUACAUGGCACACAAUUAAAAAUUUUUUGAAAUUCCCGGCUUAUUCUUCUUAGCAUUUUCUCCAAAAAUUAAACUAAAUUAGCAAGUUCUUACACUUGAUAAACUAGUCACUUCUAAAUUUAUUGGAACCACAAUUUAGAAAGAGGCAGUACUUAUUUUAAUCCAUUUGAAACAUUUCUUGCCUAUGUCUUGACCAGCAUGUCUGUCUCACAACUAUUUUCCUAUGGUUUACCUUUCCUUGAGUCUUAGUAGCUAUAUCUUCAGUUUCAAAGUAACUUCUUAAUCUCUGGUCUCUUUACCAAGCACAGGUGACACAAUUGUCAUGGGGAGAAUGGGAACAAAAACAACCUUAUUUGUUUAAAAUCAGAUGGGGAAUCCAACCAGGCAUAACUGUAACAUAUUCCCAGAAAUGUGUUGAGUACCUCUUUCCCUUGAUUAUGCAUUUCUUUACUUUCAUUUUCCUGCUUUUCUCCCCAGUCCCAUCUGCAGAAUGUUUUUAUAAAAAUAAAUAAAUGAAAAUCCAUUAAAGGAUUAGGUUUCCACAAUGUAUUGUUAGGUGCAUGUAAUGUGAUCAAGAAUCAAUUUUAGAAAGUAACUUCUUGGUAUGAUUUUACUGUAGUUUUGCAUUCCUUGAGUAAUGUCUCAUCUGCAAGGCAGAAUGGACUGUGUAUUUGUUAUAAUUAAUCAUAAAACUGCCUUUUCUAGUCUUUCAUUUUUCUUCAUAUCUCAGAGACUGGCAGAGAAAGGGAAGAAAAACUGCUUCACUGUUAGGAAGAUUAUGCAAUUUAGUAGCUUUUAUGGGAGUCCUUGUGGAUACUGGCAUAGGAGAGACAGGAGGAAAAAGUAGAUGGUUGGUUUUUGAACAGGGAAAGGUGAGCUUUCGAUGGCUUCCUCAGAAGUAUUUUAGAUUUCUGUUUCUUACUGUGACACUCAGUUGCCUUACAAGUCAUGUCCUGAGCCUUGGUGGUCUGAGUAUGAAACAAAAUAACUCAAGGGCUUUGAUCUGAAGGUCAGUUCUCAUGCCUUCACCCAGGUGUACCAUCUUUGUAAUGCAUUCUCACAGCAAAAUGUCUGCAAUCUGGCAAAAUUAGUAGAAGCUUUUGCAUGGACACUGAACAUAGCAGAAAGAAAGCUCUUUGACAACAUCCCUGUCCCUCCAGUUCAAUGAACAUGGCAACAGUGAACUCCUAGAGUGUGGUAUUCACUAAUGAAGAAAUAGGAAAAUUAUAUGAGAGAGAGCUAUUUAUACGUUUGUGUCACCACAUGCUGCUUGGAUAAAGAGUCUGUCUCUUUCAGGUUCAAAUUGCAAACCAGCAGGUACUCAAGCCUACAACAAAGAUCUUAUUUUUUCUUACCCUUGCAGAUGUUGUGCAGCACAUGGUGUGUGGAGAUGACACAGACAGCUACAUCUUCAUUAGCAUCAAAGAGUUUCCAUAGGCUAUAUUUGUUUAUCUUUGCUUGCCUCAGUAACUCACUUGUUUCUAAAAGCCCAAAACAAACUUUUAUCAGGUAAAAUCCUUGAAUCCUUGUUGAUUGUUCUGAUUUGGAAGUGGAGUAACAUGUUACUAUUAGCUUAUUGUUAUUGAUCUUCCUACUGCUCUAAGCCCUUCUGGUGGAUUGCACCACAGCAUGCACCUGUCAGCUUGGCCAACUAUAGCCUAACCAGCACUGUGCAGGUGUUCUGCAAAGUUAACAUUCACUUCUUUGUUGACUUUUCAUUUUGGUGGGUUUUUUUUGUGGGUUUUUUUUUUUGUUUUUUGUUUUUUUUUUUUUAAUGAUACAUGUUAGAAUCCUUUUGGAGUCAUGGAGUUCCUACUCUCUGAAAGGAGCUUAUGUUUCCAGACAUGUUUAUGCACCCAUUUCAUGGAUAACACUGUGAUUACAGCAUGCUGUUCUCGCCCAGGGACAGCAAACAGGUCCCAUAGCCCUCCAGCAUCCUAAGAAGAUUGACUUCCUUUAGCUUUGUCCGUGUGAGUUCCUACAGGAUAAAACUUUUGCUCCCAUCACAUACAGGUAAAAUUUUACUUAAAAAAGAUUUAAUACAGUUGGUCGAUAGCAUCCAAAUUAGAAUUCUCAGCUGUGAAAAGCUGUAAGAUGUAGGCUCCGAACAGCCACUGUCCAGCUCUUUUUUCCAUAUACAGAUUUCAGACAUGGGGCAGACUAAAAUGAAAAAUCUGCUGAUGCAAGGUUAUGAUUUUUGGGAACAGGCUGGCCAGGUGUACUUUGGUUUUCUCAUUAUGUUCACUUAGGCUUAUUUGGCUGACUGCACUAUUUGUGGGUGAUUUAAUUUUCCUUCCUGGUAUAGAUUGAGCUGCAAUCAGCCUGCAUUCAAGCAAUACACUCUGAGGAGAAAAGUUGAUGAUGCAUGUCUGAGGAAGAAUUCCUUUGUGGUGUGGAAACUGAUCCUGGAAAGUCACUGCCAGCAUUACACAAGGGGCCAUCCAUGGUGUUCUGGAAGAGACCUAGACAGAAAAACUAUCAGAAAGCCUCAGCUACAUGAACGGCACUGUUCUGGCUCAGAGGAUUAGGAGAAGAAGCAAUAUUUUCUGCAACAACCAGUAAGAAAAGUCUGAAAGUAACUCCACCUGGAAAAUGAGAAAGGGCAUAGAGGGCCCUUUUUUGCCAAUUCAGCUGCCCAACACAGUGCUGUGAUAGCUGUGGGAGACUGGCCACGUGCAGCAAAACCUGCCUCAGACAGGUCUGGCCGUUGUGACUCAGAACACCAGUACAAGUGCACAGGCAAACCAGGUGCUCUCCAGAAAAGCAAAGGUUGCAAACAAAAUCUGGGUUAUCCUGGCAUUUCUCUUCAAGAUUGUUGUACAGAUAUCUGUUGGUGUUCUUGGGAUGACUACCUUGUACUGUGUCAGUAAAAGCAGAUAAUACUGUUGCUGGAGUAGGGAGUGGUUCCUGUGGUUCUCCUGCUGAUCAGCUGUUCAAGGCUUCAA